GAUGAACGCUGGCGGCGUGCCUAAUACAUGCAAGUCGAGCGAACAGACGAGGAGCUUGCUCCUCUGACGUUAGCGGCGGACGGGUGAGUAACACGUGGAUAACCUACCUAUAAGACUGGGAUAACUUCGGGAAACCGGAGCUAAUACCGGAUAAUAUAUUGAACCGCAUGGUUCAAUAGUGAAAGACGGUUUUGCUGUCACUUAUAGAUGGAUCCGCGCCGCAUUAGCUAGUUGGUAAGGUAACGGCUUACCAAGGCGACGAUGCGUAGCCGACCUGAGAGAGUGAUCGGCCACACUGGAACUGAGACACGGUCCAGACUCCUACGGGAGGCAGCAGUAGGGAAUCUGCCGCAAUGGGCGAAAGCCUGACGGAGCAACGCCGCGUGAGUGAUGAAGGUCUUCGGAUCGUAAAACUCUGUUAUUAGGGAAGAACAAAUGUGUAAGGAACUAUACACGUCUUGACGGUACCUAAUCAGAAAGCCACGGCUAACUACGUG
RNAcentral lists this ribosomal RNA (497 nucleotides) under uncultured bacterium. RNAcentral describes it as "partial 16S ribosomal RNA". It matches the Rfam family "Bacterial small subunit ribosomal RNA", at positions 28 to 507 of the family's 1533-position model. The record is from RNAcentral.